This 419-nucleotide ribosomal RNA is filed under the name uncultured Glomeromycotina. RNAcentral describes it as "SSU rRNA". It matches the Rfam family "Eukaryotic small subunit ribosomal RNA", at positions 675 to 1092 of the family's 1831-position model. Lineage: Eukaryota; Fungi; Glomeromycota. The record is from RNAcentral.
ACGUACUGGCAUUGUUGGUUUCUCCCUUCUGACGAACCAUGAUGUCAUUUAUUUGGUGUUGUGGGGAAUCAGGACUGUUACUUUGAAAAAAUUAGAGCGUUUAAAGCAGGCUCACGCUUGAAUACAUUAGCAUGGAAUAAUGAAAUAGGACGUUUGAUUCUAUUUUGUUGGUUUCUAGGAUCGACGUAAUGAUUAAUAGGGAUAGUUGGGGGCAUUAGUAUUCAAUUGUCAGAGGUGAAAUUCUUGGAUUUAUUGAAGACUAACUACUGCGAAAGCAUUUGCCAAGGAUGUUUUCAUUAAUCAAGAACGAAAGUUAGGGGAUCGAAGACGAUCAGAUACCGUCGUAGUCUUAACCAUAAACUAUGCCGACUAGGGAUCGGAUGAUGUUAAUUUUUUAAUGACUCAUUCGGCGCCUUACG